RNAcentral lists this ribosomal RNA (774 nucleotides) under uncultured Neocallimastigales. RNAcentral describes it as "partial large subunit ribosomal RNA". It matches the Rfam family "Eukaryotic large subunit ribosomal RNA", at positions 18 to 643 of the family's 3401-position model. Lineage: Eukaryota; Fungi; Neocallimastigomycota; Neocallimastigomycetes; Neocallimastigales. The record is from RNAcentral.
UCAGACGAUGCGUCAUGUAUAUCAAUAAGCGGAGGAAAAGAAACUAACAAGGAUUCCCCUAGUAACGGCGAGUGAAGCGGGAAGAGCUCAAAUUUGAAAUCUUAAAGGGUUUCCCUUUACGAAUUGUAGUUUAAAGAAGUGUUUUCUGUUGAGGUUUUGGUAAAAGUUCUUUGGAAUAGGACAUCAUAGAGGGUGAGAAUCCCGUAUUUGACCUUUACUUUCAACUUUGUGAUACACUUUCAAUGAGUCGGAUUGUUUGGGAAUGCAGUCCAAAAUGGGUGGUAAAUUUCAUCUAAAGCUAAAUAUUGGCGAGAGACCGAUAGCGAACAAGUACCGUGAGGGAAAGAUGAAAAGAACUUUGAAAAGAGAGUUAAACAGUACGUGAAAUUGUCAAAAGGGAAGCGUUUGACACCAGUGUUGUUUUUCUGAAAAUCAAUUAAAGAACUGUUUAUGCUAAGUUGUUUAGACUUUAUCAGCUAUCUGUUUAGUUUUGAGCUUUUCUUUAAUGCACUUUUCAGUUAACAAGUCAACAUCAAUUUCUUUUGCUGUAAAAAAGCUUGAGGAAGGUGGCUUGAGAUUCGUCUUAAGUGUUUAUAGCCUCUUGCCUAUGCAGUCGGAGAGAUUGAGGUCUGCAGCGUAGAUCCUUCGGGGCUAAAUGCAUUUGUGCUAAGUUAUAGCAUUUCAUAGACAACUUGUUGACUAUGAUUUGUCUUGUAGCUUACUCGCUUAUGUUAUUUUACCUACGCUUAGGAUGUUGACACACGCGCGUGCUCG